GGGGACAUACCUGGGUAGUUUCUUCUCACUGGAUCCAACAAGUUUUCGCCACAUGAAGGAUAGCCAUUUGAGUCUCAUAAUGUUACAGACAUCAGUUUCAGAAUAAUCUGUUGAAGGAGCCAUGAUAUGAGGUUGAGUUUUCUUUUUCCUUGAAAAUUGGUUCUCUGUAUAUACGUCUAACCCAGAUUCUUGGUAGCAUAUACUUACAUAUAACAACCUGCAAAACAAAAGGAACCUUCAAUUCUGUUAGUAAUUAGCUAAAGGUAUGGCUUGGUGUUUCAACAAGUUGAACUGUGAUUUGAUUUAUACAGUAUCAAGAUUGUCUUGAUUUGGUAGUAAAUGCUAGGUCUUGAGGCUCUUCUGUCAUGCUUGGCCUUCCUUUAAAACUUUAGAAUGAUGUAAUCAGUACCUUGCUACGUACUGUUUAUGUCCCAAUGUUAGUUUCAUAUAUUUAUCACAAAGCAAGUGUUGUGUAUAUUGCUGCCAAAUUUUGGCCAAAUUCCAUUUUACUACCAUCUAGGUAAAAAAAUGUUGGGUCUACAACUCCAAGUAAUAUUCUGUUUGGUAACAUUAGCAGUUAGUGAUUGUGGAAAAAUUAAUCUGGUUAGCAUGUGAUUUAUACAAGGCUUUAGUGUCAUGUCUAUAUUUGUUGUUUGAAUUAUUGAAAAAUAACCAAAAAAAAAAGAGUACCUUUCUCCCUGUAGCUAGGAUAUAAUCUAGAUCAUACCACCAGAUAUGAUCCUUUUUUAAUUGAAACAGUAAUCUAUUGUUCGAUCUUGCAUUGUUCUUAGUAGGUAUCAGUAGCUCUUGGUGAUGAAGAUGAGCAGAGCUGUGACAAGGUGCAUUGUCAUGUUGAAUUGAAGAUAGUAAGAAAUCAUGCAGGAGAUGAUCCUUUAGAUCAUUUACUCAUGAAAGGGUUUCCAGGUGCUAUGUUCGGAAGUUGUUAUAUUGUGAGCAUGGAGUGGGCUUCUUGAGAUUCAUUAGCUAGCAUGUAAGGUUCCUGUCUUUACUAUGUAUGUCUACAGGGAGAUCACCAACAUGUGAGUAUACGGUGCUUUAUUCCUUUGUUCUUUUCCUUUUUAUUCCUAUGGCUAUCUGUUGAGGAUUAAGACAACUAACAGGCAACAGAAAACACUUGAAUUAUAGACUCUUCAAUUUGUUUUUAAAGCACCCAUGCCCCCCAUCUAUAUCUAGAUUCUAGACAUGUUCAUACAUGGUAAUGAGAAUAUAACCCUUUUAGAGUCCUCCAAAUACAUAGGAAUACUUUUUAAAAACCCAUAUCCAAACUCACACCCGAGUUCGAGUAACGUAGCUUGAAAAACUGCAUGAACAUAUUUACUUGCAAUAAGAUACAAAGGUAUAAAUGAAUGGAGUUCUCUUUAUACAGGAUGUAGACAUGUAGUUAUGUUUUUAGUUGCAUACACCAAAGAUAAAGUGUUGGUCACAUGUUUACUAUGAAACAGUAAGUUAGGCGAAACAUAUACCAGCAUUGCUUGUAAACUGUUUUCUCUGCUCUCUUAUCCUAUAUGUUAGAACGUGGAAGUGUAGUUUGUUUGAAUGGGAAGUGUUUCUCCUUAUCGACAUGUCUUAUAUCUGUCUCUACGUUUGGUUGCCUGUCAUAAAUAAUGCAAAUGAUUACACCCUUGUUUGGAGAAUGUAAUUGCAACCAUUUCUUUUAAUUACAUCGGCCUUCACAACAAAUCUUUGAGUAUUUUGUAUGUACAAACAUAUGAGCCUGAGAUGUUAAAAGAGUCUGAAGUUUUUUGGAUACAAUACAAGAAAAUAAUCAAAUGUAUUUUGCUCUUAAACUGUACUUAUUUUCUCAGUUUGGUAUUUAAAUUUUCUUCUCCCAUUUUUGUAUAUCAUUUUUUAUGCAAAAAGUUGGUGUUAAAAAAAAUAGGUGGC
RNAcentral lists this long non-coding RNA (1905 nucleotides) under Gossypium barbadense (sea-island cotton). RNAcentral describes it as "long non-coding RNA (GBAR_LNC015617)". The record is from RNAcentral. Lineage: Eukaryota; Viridiplantae; Streptophyta; Magnoliopsida; Malvales; Malvaceae.